GAUGAACGCUGGCGGCGUGCCUAAUACAUGCAAGUAGAACGCUGAAGGAGGAGCUUGCUCUUCUGGAUGAGUUGCGAACGGGUGAGUAACGCGUAGGUAACCUGCCUGGUAGCGGGGGAUAACUAUUGGAAACGAUAGCUAAUACCGCAUGACAACAGUUAUUGCAUGAUAACUGUUUAAAAGUGGCAACUGCUCCACUACCAGAUGGACCUGCGUUGUAUUAGCUAGUUGGUGAGGUAACGGCUCACCAAGGCGACGAUACAUAGCCGACCUGAGAGGGUGAGCGGCCACACUGGGACGGAGACACGGCCCAGAGGCCUACGGGAGGCAGCAGGAGGGAAUCGUCGGCAAUGGACGGAAGUCUGACCGAGCAACGCCGCGUGAGUGAAGAAGGUUGUCGGAUCGGAAAGCUCUGUUGUAAGAGAAGAACGAGUGUGAGAGUGGAAAGUUCACACUGUGACGGUAUCUGACCAGAAAGGGACGGCUAACUACGUG
RNAcentral lists this ribosomal RNA (495 nucleotides) under uncultured bacterium. RNAcentral describes it as "partial 16S ribosomal RNA". It matches the Rfam family "Bacterial small subunit ribosomal RNA", at positions 28 to 507 of the family's 1533-position model. The record is from RNAcentral.